GUUUAUGGUAUUAUUACUGCCUAGAUAUAUAUUGUAAUCUGUUUACACUUAUUCUACAUUUUUGUUUUUACAUAAUUUUGUUUAUAUUUAUUUUACUAAAUAAUUACUAAUAGAUAAAGAAGUAUGUGCAGGAUUUAAUUUCACGUCUAAAGAGGACUCUGAAGAAGAAUUAAAGUUCUGGUGGAUCAAAGAUUGAGGAAUGAUUUGGUUUUAACUGUUUUGCAUCUUAUGAACAAAGUACAUAAUAUGAUUUAAAUUGAUGAUUUAUAGUUACACCUAUUGAAAUUCUGUAUCUCAAUGAUAUCCUGGCUUAUUGAUACGAUAUCCUGUAAAUCCACUCA
Non-coding RNA from Hydra vulgaris (swiftwater hydra), 341 nucleotides. Lineage: Eukaryota; Metazoa; Cnidaria; Hydrozoa; Anthoathecata; Hydridae. The record is from RefSeq and is a predicted model, not a curated record.